RNAcentral lists this unclassified non-coding RNA (212 nucleotides) under Hevea brasiliensis (rubber tree). Lineage: Eukaryota; Viridiplantae; Streptophyta; Magnoliopsida; Malpighiales; Euphorbiaceae. The record is from RNAcentral.
CUCUCUACUCCAUCGUCAAACCCACAGCAAAGAAUAUCAACCCUCCAGUGAGCUUCUUGAUUUUUUUGAUCACCUUCUUCAGCAAUGCAUCGUUGUUGAUCGCUGCAAACAAAUCCAUACCCAUGUCAUCGUCACUGGUUGCUGUUGCUCUGCUUUCUUGGCUGCCCGUAUUAUAUCUGUCUAUGGUCGUUUUAGGCUCCUCUUUGAUGCCC